Molecule: ribosomal RNA, 393 nt
Filed under: uncultured bacterium
Lineage: Bacteria
Description: partial 16S ribosomal RNA
Rfam family: Bacterial small subunit ribosomal RNA
Source: RNAcentral
AUACGGAGGAUGCGAGCGUUAUCCGGAUUUAUUGGGUUUAAAGGGUGCGUAGGCUGUGCUGCAAGUCAGUGGUGAAAGCCCGGCGCCUAACGCCGGAACUGCCUUUGAUACUUCCGAGCUGGAAUACGGAUGCCGUGGGAGGAAUGAGUAGUGUAGCGGUGAAAUGCAUAGAUAUUACUCAGAACACCGAUUGCGAAGGCAUCUCACGAAUCCGUCAUUGACGCUGAGGCACGAAAGCGUGGGGAUCAAACAGGAUUAGAUACCCUGGUAGUCCACGCAGUAAACGAUGAUGACUAACCGUCGGCGAUACACAGUCGGUGGCCAAGCGAAAGCGAUAAGUCAUCCACCUGGGGAGUACGUUCGCAAGAAUGAAACUCAAAUGAAUUGACGGGG